This 367-nucleotide ribosomal RNA is filed under the name uncultured organism. RNAcentral's name for it is "bacterial LSU rRNA". It matches the Rfam family "Bacterial large subunit ribosomal RNA", at positions 2099 to 2465 of the family's 2925-position model. The record is from RNAcentral.
CUUUACUGUAGCCUGGUAUUGGGUUCGGGCUUUGACUGCGCAGGAUAGGUGGGAGACUAUGAAGCAAUCCUUGUGGGGGUUGCUGAGUCAACGGUGAGAUACCACUCUGUCAGAGCUAGAAUUCUAACUAAAUGCCGUUAUCCGGCUUUGGAACCGUAUCAGGUGGGCAGUUUGACUGGGGCGGUCGCCUCCUAAAAGGUAACGGAGGCGCGCAAAGGUUCUCUCAGGCUGGUUGGAAAUCAGUCGUAGAGUGCAAAGGCAGAAGGUAGCUUGACUGUGAGACGAACAGGUCAAACAGGGUGGAAACACGGCCUUAGUGAUCCGACGGCGCUGAGUGGAAGGGCCGUCGCUAAACGGAUAAAAGUUA